CCUACGGGUGGCAGCAGUGAGGAAUAUUGGUCAAUGGCCGGAAGGCUGAACCAGCCAUGCCGCGUGAAGGUCAGUGCCCUAUGGGCGUUAAACUUCUUUUGUGCGGGAGAAAUAAUGGUCACGUGUGGCCAGACGAGAGUACCGUACGAAUAAGCAUCGGCUAACUCCGUGCCAGCAGCCGCGGUAAUACGGGGGAUGCAAGCGUUAUCCGGGUUUAUUGGGUUUAAAGGGUGCGUGGGCUGGGAGGUAAGUCAGCGGUGAAAUGCCCCCGCUCAACGGGGUGAAGUGCCAUUGAUACUGGCUGGCUGGAGUGCGGAUGCCGUGGGAGGAAUGUGCGGUGUAGCGGUGAAAUGCAUAGAUAUCACACAGAACACCGAUUGCGAAGGCAUCUCACGAACCCGCGAUUGACGCUGAUGCACGAAAGCGUGGGUAUCAAACAGGAUUAGAUACCCCUGUAGUC
Molecule: ribosomal RNA, 460 nt
Filed under: uncultured bacterium
Lineage: Bacteria
Description: partial 16S ribosomal RNA
Rfam family: Bacterial small subunit ribosomal RNA
Source: RNAcentral